GCUGCCAGACAAGCAGACAGGCAGGCAGCCUCCUCGCUACAACCAGCACUACUCUCACCGCCGCAGUCACAGCAGCGUCUCAUGCCUUCACCUGCUCCGGGAGAGACAGCAGUCCAUCUGUCAGUCCGUCCGUGCAGCCGAGCAGCCGGGGAGGUGGAAGCCUGAAGCGUUCAGAUGAAGAUGCUGGAAAACGGGAGGAAGGUGUUCAAGGAGGGUCUGCUGGAGAAGCGGAGCGACGGGCUGCUGCAGCUCUGGAAGAAGAAGCACUGCGUCCUGACCGAGGACGGCGUGCUGCUGCUGCCUCCCAAGCAGCACGACCAGCCGCAGCACCACCAGCCGCACCACGGCGGCGGGGACGCGGGCAAAGUCAAGGAGCUGCACUUCGCCAACAUGAAGACGGUGGACUGCGUGGAGCGGAAGGGCAAGUACGUGUACUUCACGGUGGUGAUGACCGAGGGGAAGGAGAUCGACUUCAGGUGCCCGCAGGACGAGGGCUGGAACGCGGAGAUCACCUUGCAGAUGGUCCAGUACAAGAACCGGCAGGCGAUCCUGGCCGUCAAGUCCACCCGGCAGAAGCAGCAGCUGCUGGUCGUGCAGAUGCCCGGCCAGAAGACCGUCCGCAGCUCGCCUAAUGUUGCGUGACCUGCGGCGUGUCCCGCGGACAUUGUUGCGCCAUUAGCGGUAAGACAGCUAAAGAGAACGCGAGAUUGAGGGGGGCUCCCCAGGUCCGGGGACCACCUGGGGAUCCCCUUGCAAAUUAAGGACCCGUUUUUCGGUUUUGUUUUAUUCCCUGGAUAUGUGUGCCACGAACGAGGACGUCUGGUUUCAUCAUAGGUUAAUUGGACACUCAGCUGGAGGAUUAUUAUCUCCCCCUGCCACUUCAGCGCCAAGCUCCACUCUCCAGGAGAACCCCUCAUCCAUGUAGUGGUUUCCACACACCAGUGGCCCCUGUCCCCUUUUCAAUACAGAGACUUAUUUCACAAAAGACUGAUCAACAAAAAGCAUGUGAGAAAACAGGUGUAUUCUACCGUGCGAUGGGUUUAUCCCUUAUUUAUUAUAUGUGUAUAUAUAUUUUCUAUGAAAAAUGUUAUGAUGUUGAUGAAUGUUCAGUGUGGUUGUUGCUAGAGAGGAACCAGAAAUACUCGCUUGGAGGUUCAUAGCCCACGUUACACACAAAGUCCUUUGGGAAUAUGCUUACAUAGUUAUCUUAGGAUGGUUGCUGUAGAUUAGUCAAAUCAGUUCUUUAUUGGUAAAAUGUGUCAUUGUCCAUGUUUUCGUUUUUCAACUGAACCAAAGAAUCAUUUCUCUCUCUAGUGCAGUGUUACAACUCAGAAUAUACUAUACUAAAAUACUAUAGAUAUAUGAUGAGAUACCUGCAUGACCUAUAUCUAAUUUGUUUGAUAGCUUUUAUUAUUAGCUACAGUACAUCUUCGUAUUUUCAUUGUAUACAAGAAUCAUUUCCAUCAUUUUAUUUGACUGCUUUUAUCGAUACAAAAGCUAUCCUUUGUUUUCUUCUGAGUCUUAAAUCUGAGUAAGAUACUAGCUUUCCACGCAGUUUGUUUUCAGUGGUUACAGAGACAAGCUUAUUCAUUUAAUAAGUCAGUAACAUGCACAGUGGAGGUUUGUGAAAUUGAUAAUUCUCAGGAGCUGAACUGCUCUAAACACAAUUUAAUUGGUUGCAUUCAAUCUUAGUGGGUGGGGACAAAUUACCACUGUUCUGGCUUGGUAAGUUCUGUCUGAGACUAAAAAGGAAACAAAUGCUUCUUCAAUUUGAUAACCAAAAACAAGGAGGAAAAGUACAUUUGACAUUUUCAAAUCUGUGGAAAUUCAGAGGCUUCCUCUGUGUUCAAACGUCUUGGUCAUAACAGGAGAAGCUAUUGUAGCUUGUCAGCUGUCAAACCAUCCAUCUACUUUUAUUUGGCCCUCCACCUGCUCCACAAAAGAGGCACGUUUGUAGACAACUAUGACAGGAGUCAAUGGUUUAAUUAGGUCUAUUGAAUAAACUGUGUAACUUAUUGCCCUGUUAGAGAUUGUGCCAACUAGCUUCCGUACUGUCAGUUAGCAAGCUAGCUAGCUUGUCAGUAACAAAAGAUCUAUUAUGACUGACCAGUACCAGCAUGUUCCCUAUAAAAUGUACUUGUUUUAAAGACAUUUUGUGGUGUACUGGAGAAAGACUUCCUGGUCCAACGUGUGUCACAUGACCUACAGUUAACUGGGCCACUCAGCUAAAAUCACAUGUCAACGUAGUGCUGCUACAAGGUCCUGUUAUUGCUCUCAAGGUUUGAAAGCUGUCAUGUGUAAGAUUAUCUUCUCCAAUCGUUGCUCGUUGUCCUUGGCUACAAAAUUGUGACAGAUUUUGUAUACAAAAUAAACCCGUUUGAAGCUAGUUAGCUAGCUGCUGACUUUCCAGUAUCACAAAUGUUUUUGAAAUGUCCUUGGCAAUGCAAGCUUACCAACUAGCUAAAUUAAGCUAAAACAGACUCUUAGAAACUCUUUUUCCCACCAGCUUUCUGCCAACUCUGCCUCUGAUUGGCAAGUACUUGUUGCCUUCGUUGGUUAAGUUGGUUAGGGGAAAGGGGUUAGCCAAUCAGAGACAGCGUAUGGGACAUGACUUGACCAUUGACUGUAUUAAAGUGGACGUAGUCAUCGUGACGUCACUUAUCGGUUUGUGGACUGACGUUUUGAAGCCUAGAUUUUGGCAUUAUGGCCGUCACCAUAUUAAUUUUUUGCAACCAGCGGCAUCGGACAUAACCAUAUAUGGACAAUUCUGAGCUAGCCACCUUGGUUAGCAAGGUGCAUCUGUAAUUCACGUUGUCUGUGAUUUGAUGCAAAUUUUGGCUAUUGAAAAACAGGCUAAAAAUGUAGGCCUGCUCACCAGAGAAAAUAAACCGCCGACUCUUAAUAAGCUUUUUCAAUGGCGCUGGUUAAAUGUAAAUAGUGCAGCGGAUACGAGUCACUUUAGCCUGAUUUACAGGUCGCCAUGGUAGCUACUUGUCAAUCAAAAGGUAGUCCCGUCCAAAGCAUCCCCUACUUUAUAGUCUAUUUUCUCUCUAAAUGGGAGCAUAUUUACUAAAUGAACAUCAUACUUUAUUGAAGAUGACUUGAUAACAGCGACUAAACUAUAAACUCAUUAUGAAAAUGUUUAUUAAGGUAAUAAAACAAGUGGGAAGUAGGGGCAUUUUACCAUUAUUUCUAAUGGAACCAGACUUCUUUUUGCAACCAGUGGAGUGACCCCCUGCUGGCUGUUAGAGAGAAUGCAGGUUUUAGGACUUCCGCAUUGGCUACACUUUUCGGACCCGGACGUUCCCCCUUGGGCUUGACAAAAAAAUGGCAGGAGUUGUUAGAAAAAAAUGACACAUUUGUCUCCACCCACUUUACCACAGCCAAUCAUAUUAUUUCUGUCUCUAUAGCAGGUCUGCCCCCCAGAGAAAUGUUCAUAAAACUAUAUCUCUAGUCUGCAGUUUUAAUACUGCAAGGCAUGCAAUGUUUUUCAUGACAAAAAGAACAGACUGAACAGUGUGAUUGUUUUGAAAGUUCUAAAGAUGGCGAUACACAGGGAAACAUCACGUGUUAAUGUGUCAACUAACGGUCUCUGAAAUAGCUUUUUUUCAUGAUAGAGGGAUGUCUUGCCGUCACAAAACAUUUUAUUUCACUAUGGCCCAUGCUGUUUCCUGUUUGCUGGAAGUGUUUCCCUCUGCACCCCCCUCUUGCCAGUGUUUCACCGCUGAACCAACACAUGCCUCCUUGUUGUUGUCAUCUCCCACACAGGGUAAUAGCUGUGCCCUUUAUCUAAUGCGACGGGUGUGAUGCUUCUCUGACAUGCCUUCCUGUUGCCAUCAUUAUACACAGUUAUAGCUGUGCCCUUUGUAGCCACUGUCCAAUUUCUUAUUUCAACGUGAGAUCUAUUUUCAUACUUUGAAAAGAUACAUUCCAUUAAAGAAAACAAAAACAGCA
Molecule: RNA transcript, 3954 nt
Organism: Micropterus salmoides (largemouth bass)
Lineage: Eukaryota; Metazoa; Chordata; Actinopteri; Centrarchiformes; Centrarchidae
Gene: phlda1
Gene name: pleckstrin homology-like domain, family A, member 1
Exons: 2
Source: RefSeq, a predicted model, not a curated record